This is a non-coding RNA of Dermacentor andersoni, 227 nucleotides long. NCBI's taxonomy places the organism in Eukaryota, Metazoa, Arthropoda, Arachnida, Ixodida, Ixodidae. The record is from RefSeq and is a predicted model, not a curated record.
AAACAACCAGGAUGUCACCCUUCUGGAAGGACAGCUCGUCGUCUUGUUGCCCGAUGAAGGGAAACAGGGCACGCACUUGCUCUGAGAGAGAGACUGCUGUACAGCGCACCAGCCAGCACCAUGAAGUGGCUAAUCACCACAAGAACUGUUUUCUCUAGGGUCCUGACAUUUGUUUUCUUCUUCAGUACUCUCAUCUGAAGGCAGAAUAUAUUUCUUGUUAGAAAGAG